Molecule: ribosomal RNA, 1194 nt
Filed under: Enterococcus faecalis
Lineage: Bacteria; Bacillati; Bacillota; Bacilli; Lactobacillales; Enterococcaceae
Description: bacterial LSU rRNA
Rfam family: Bacterial large subunit ribosomal RNA
Source: RNAcentral
GGGCGGGACACGUGGUAUCCUGUCUGAAUAUGGGGGGACCAUCCUCCAAGGCUAAAUACUCCUGACUGACCGAUAGUGAACCAGUACCGUGAGGGAAAGGCGAAAAGAACCCCGGCGAGGGGAGUGAAAAAGAACCUGAAACCGUGUACGUACAAGCAGUGGGAGCACGCUUAGGCGUGUGACUGCGUACCUUUUGUAUAAUGGGUCAGCGACUUAUAUUCUGUAGCAAGGUUAACCGAAUAGGGGAGCCGAAGGGAAACCGAGUCUUAACUGGGCGUUAAGUUGCAGGGUAUAGACCCGAAACCCGGUGAUCUAGCCAUGGGCAGGUUGAAGGUUGGGUAACACUAACUGGAGGACCGAACCGACUAAUGUUGAAAAAUUAGCGGAUGACUUGUGGCUGGGGGUGAAAGGCCAAUCAAACCGGGAGAUAGCUGGUUCUCCCCGAAAGCUAUUUAGGUAGCGCCUCGUGAAUUCAUCUCCGGGGGUAGAGCACUGUUUCGGCAAGGGGGUCAUCCCGACUUACCAACCCGAUGCAAACUGCGAAUACCGGAGAAUGUUAUCACGGGAGACACACGGCGGGUGCUAACGUCCGUCGUGAAGAGGGAAACAACCCAGACCGCCAGCUAAGGUCCCAAAGUCAUGGUUAAGUGGGAAACGAUGUGGGAAGGCCCAGACAGCCAGGAUGUUGGCUUAGAAGCAGCCAUCAUUUAAAGAAAGCGUAAUAGCUCACUGGUCGAGUCGGCCUGCGCGGAAGAUGUAACGGGGCUAAACCAUGCACCGAAGCUGCGGCAGCGACGCUUAUGCGUUGUUGGGUAGGGGAGCGUUCUGUAAGCCUGCGAAGGUGUGCUGUGAGGCAUGCUGGAGGUAUCAGAAGUGCGAAUGCUGACAUAAGUAACGAUAAAGCGGGUGAAAAGCCCGCUCGCCGGAAGACCAAGGGUUCCUGUCCAACGUUAAUCGGGGCAGGGUGAGUCGACCCCUAAGGCGAGGCCGAAAGGCGUAGUCGAUGGGAAACAGGUUAAUAUUCCUGUACUUGGUGUUACUGCGAAGGGGGGACGGAGAAGGCUAUGUUGGCCGGGCGACGGUUGUCCCGGUUUAAGCGUGUAGGCUGGUUUUCCAGGCAAAUCCGGAAAAUCAAGGCUGAGGCGUGAUGACGAGGCACUACGGUGCUGAAGCAACAAAUGCCCUGCUUCCAGG